Chlorocebus sabaeus (green monkey) is the source of this 209-nucleotide non-coding RNA. The record is from Rfam. Lineage: Eukaryota; Metazoa; Chordata; Mammalia; Primates; Cercopithecidae.
GCUGGGCAUGGUGGCACACACCUGUAAUCUCAGCCACUCAGGAGGCUGAGGCAGGAGAAUUGCUUGAAACCAUGAGGUGGAGGUUGCAGUGAGCCAAGACUGUGCCACUGCACUCUAGCCUGNNNNNNNNNNCAGGCUAGAGUGCAGUGGCACAGUCUUGGCUCACUGCAACCUCCACCUCAUGGUUUCAAGCAAUUCUCCUGCCUCAG